GUGCAUGCCGUAUUAAGGUGAAACCGCGAAUGGCUCAUUAAAUCAGUUAUGGUUUCUUAGAUGGUACCAUCUUACUUGGAUAACUGUGGUAAUUCUAGAGCUAAUACAUGCCGAAUAAGCUCCGACCCGCGCAACAACGCGGGCACGAGCGCUUUUAUUAGAACAAGACCAAUGCGGCAAAACUCCGGUAACACGGAUUUUCCGUUCAAACAUUGGUGACUCUGGAUAACUUGAAGCUGAUCGCACGGUCUCGCACCGGCGACGCAUCUUUCAAAUGUCUGCCUUAUCAACUGUCGAUGGUAGGUUACGUGCCUACCAUGGUUGUAACGGGUAACGGGGAAUCAGGGUUCGAUUCCGGAGAGGGAGCCUGAGAAACGGCUACCACAUCCAAGGAAGGCAGCAGGCACGCAAAUUACCCACUCCCGGCACGGGGAGGUAGUGACGAAAAAUAACAAUACGGGACUCUUCCGAGGCCCCGUAAUUGGAAUGAGUACACUUUAAAUCCUUUAACAAGGAUCUAUUGGAGGGCAAGUCUGGUGCCAGCAGCCGCGGUAAUUCCAGCUCCAAUAGCGUAUAUUAAAGUUGUUGCGGUUAAAAAGCUCGUAGUUGGAUCUCGGUCCCGGACCGGCGGUCCGCGACUCGUUCGCGGUCACACUGCCGGCUUUUUCCGGGGCCAGUACGGCCGGCCGUCCCUUGGUGCUCUUCAUCGAGUGUCUCGGGUGACCGGAACGUUUACUUUGAACAAAUUAGAGUGCUUAAAGCAGGCAAGCUAACCAGCCUGAAUAGCUCAGCAUGGAAUAAUGGAAUAGGACCUCGGUUCUAUUUUGUUGGUUUUUGAGAACCCGAGGUAAUGAUUAAUAGGGACAGACGGGGGCAUUCGUAUUGCGGCGCUAGAGGUGAAAUUCUUGGACCGUCGCAAGACGAACUACUGCGAAAGCAUUUGCCAAGAAUGUUUUCAUUAAUCAAGAACGAAAGUUAGAGGUUCGAAGGCGAUCAGAUACCGCCCUAGUUCUAACCAUAAACGAUGCCGACCAGCAAUCCGCCGGAGUUCCUCCGAUGACUCGGCGGGCAGCUUCCGGGAAACCAAAGUGUUUGGGUUCCGGGGGAAGUAUGGUUGCAAAGCUGAAACUUAAAGGAAUUGACGGAAGGGCACCACCAGGAGUGGAGCCUGCGGCUUAAUUUGACUCAACACGGGAAAACUCACCCGGCCCGGACACUGGAAGGAUUGACAGAUUGAGAGCUCUUUCUUGAUUCAGUGGGUGGUGGUGCAUGGCCGUUCUUAGUUGGUGGAUCGAUUUGUCUGGUUAAUUCCGAUAACGAACGAGACUCUAGCCUGCUAAAUAGACGACCGAUCCCGGGGUGUCGGCGCUCUCCUUUUUUCCCUCGUUUUGUCGGGUCUUUCUGGCGGAUUGCCGCGCGGUUGGUCGGGUCUCUCCGUCCGCAGCCGGGUUUUGGCGUCUUUCGGGUUUUGGCGUCCGGGCGCCGUCUGUGUCGGAUUCGUUCGUCACGGCGGUCCACUCGGCGUCGAUUUUCCGUCGGCGUCACAUUCUCGCUCGGUGGGGUUUCUUGUCCGCCGUCGGCUCUCCCAACCGGUCUCCCGUCGGCGUGGGUCAGGGUUUGCGUUUCGACUUAGCCUCCGUCGGUCGAUUGCUUCUUAGAGGGACAAUCGGCGCUCAGCCGUGCGAGAUUGAGCAAUAACAGGUCUGUGAUGCCCUUAGAUGUCCGGGGCCGCACGCGCGCUACACUGAAGGGAUCAACAUGUGUUUUCCCCCAGUCCGGAAGGACCGGGUAACCCGUUGAACCCCCUUCGUGAUAGGGAUCGGGGCUUGGAAUUGUCCCCCGCGAACGAGGAAUUCCCAGUAAGCGCGAGUCAUAAGCUCGCGUUGAUUACGUCCCUGCCCUUUGUACACACCGCCCGUCGCUACUACCGAUUGAAUGAUUUAGUGAGGUCUUCGGACUGGCGUUCACCCGCGAUCCCUUCGGGGUUUUCGCGGCGGUUCUGCUGGGAAGAUGACCGAAC
RNAcentral lists this ribosomal RNA (2020 nucleotides) under Stigmatogaster subterranea. RNAcentral's name for it is "SSU rRNA". It matches the Rfam family "Eukaryotic small subunit ribosomal RNA". Lineage: Eukaryota; Metazoa; Arthropoda; Chilopoda; Geophilomorpha; Himantariidae. The record is from RNAcentral.